This 570-nucleotide ribosomal RNA is filed under the name Lodderomyces parapsilosis. RNAcentral's name for it is "Candida parapsilosis partial large subunit ribosomal RNA". It matches the Rfam family "Eukaryotic large subunit ribosomal RNA", at positions 63 to 650 of the family's 3401-position model. The record is from RNAcentral. Lineage: Eukaryota; Fungi; Ascomycota; Pichiomycetes; Serinales; Debaryomycetaceae.
AACCAGGGAUUGCCUUAGUAGCGGCGAGUGAAGCGGCAAAAGCUCAAAUUUGAAAUCUGGCACUUUCAGUGUCCGAGUUGUAAUUCUGAAGAAGGUAUCUUUUGGGUCUGGCUCUUGUCUAUGUUUCUUGGAACAGAACGUCACAGAGGGUGAGAAUCCCGUGCGAUGAGAUGUCCCAGACCUAUGUAAAGUUCCUUCGAAGAGUCGAGUUGUUUGGGAAUGCAGCUCUAAGUGGGUGGUAAAUUCCAUCUAAAGCUAAAUAUUGGCGAGAGACCGAUAGCGAACAAGUACAGUGAUGGAAAGAUGAAAAGAACUUUGAAAAGAGAGUGAAAAAGUACGUGAAAUUGUUGAAAGGGAAGGGCUUGAGAUCAGACUUGGUAUUUUGUAUGUUACUCUCUCGGGGGUGGCCUCUACAGUUUACCGGGCCAGCAUCAGUUUGAGCGGUAGGAUAAGUGCAAAGAAAUGUGGCACUGCUUCGGUAGUGUGUUAUAGUCUUUGUCGAUACUGCCAGCUUAGACUGAGGACUGCGGCUUCGGCCUAGGAUGUUGGCAUAAUGAUCUUAAGUCGCCC